GCGCCCACCCCCCGCAGGUACCAUUUCAGGGCAUCUGGGCUUGACUCAUCUGCUCAAUGAGAGCUUGAAGGCCUACUAUGUGCCAGGCCCUGGCCAGGAGAGCA
This 104-nucleotide microRNA precursor is filed under the name Dasypus novemcinctus (nine-banded armadillo). Its description in RNAcentral is "miRNA (ENSDNOG00000030305.2)". The record is from RNAcentral. Lineage: Eukaryota; Metazoa; Chordata; Mammalia; Cingulata; Dasypodidae.